GAUGAACGCUGGCGGCGUGCCUAAUACAUGCAAGUCGAGCGAACAGACGAGGAGCUUGCUCCUCUGACGUUAGCGGCGGACGGGUGAGUAACACGUGGAUAACCUACCUAUAAGACUGGGAUAACUUCGGGAAACCGGAGCUAAUACCGGAUAAUAUAUUGAACCGCAUGGUUCAAUAGUGAAAGACGGUUUUGCUGUCACUUAUAGAUGGAUCCGCGCCGCAUUAGCUAGUUGGUAAGGUAACGGCUUACCAAGGCAACGAUGCGUAGCCGACCUGAGAGGGUGAUCGGCCACACUGGAACUGAGACACAGUCCAGACUCCUACGGGAGGCAGCAGUAGGGAAUCUUCCGCAAUGGGCGAAAGCCUGACGGAGCAACGCCGCGUGAGUGAUGAAGGUCUUCGGAUCGUAAAACUCUGUUAUUAGGGAAGAACAAAUGUGUAAGUAACUAUGCACGUCUUGACGGUACCUAAUCAGAAAGCCACGGCUAACUACGUGCCAGCAGCAGCCGCCG
RNAcentral lists this ribosomal RNA (513 nucleotides) under uncultured bacterium. RNAcentral describes it as "partial 16S ribosomal RNA". It matches the Rfam family "Bacterial small subunit ribosomal RNA", at positions 28 to 523 of the family's 1533-position model. The record is from RNAcentral.